This 344-nucleotide unclassified non-coding RNA is filed under the name soil metagenome. RNAcentral's name for it is "partial contains 5.8S ribosomal RNA, internal transcribed spacer 2, and large subunit ribosomal RNA". The stretch from base 1 to 120 matches the Rfam family "5.8S ribosomal RNA", at positions 35 to 154 of the family's 154-position model. The record is from RNAcentral.
GAUGAAGAACGCAGUGAAAUGCGAUAAGUAAUGUGAAUUGCAGAAUUCAGUGAAUCAUCGAAUCUUUGAACGCACACUGCGCCCGCCAGCAUUCUGGCGGGCAUGCCUGUUCGAGCGUCAUUUCAACCAUCAAGCCCCGGGCUUGUGUUGGGGACCUGCGGCUGCCCGCAGGCCCCGAAAUGCAGUGGCGGGCUCGCUGUCACACCGAGCGUAGUAGCAUACACACCUCGCUCAGGGCGUGCCGCGUGCUUCCCGGCCGUUAAAACGCGCACCGACGCGCCAAAGGUUGACCUCGGAUCAGGUAGGAAGACCCGCUGAACUUAAGCAUAUCAAUAAGCGGAGGA